GUGCUCGCUGAGGCAGCAUAUAUACUAAAUUGGAACGAUACGGAGAAGACUAGCACAGCCCCUCUGCAAGGAUGACAUGUGAAUUCAUGAAGCGUUCCAUAUUUAA
Molecule: small nuclear RNA, 106 nt
Organism: Callithrix jacchus (white-tufted-ear marmoset)
Lineage: Eukaryota; Metazoa; Chordata; Mammalia; Primates; Cebidae
Source: Ensembl